RNAcentral lists this ribosomal RNA (460 nucleotides) under uncultured bacterium. Its description in RNAcentral is "partial 16S ribosomal RNA". It matches the Rfam family "Bacterial small subunit ribosomal RNA", at positions 338 to 795 of the family's 1533-position model. The record is from RNAcentral.
CCUACGGGAGGCAGCAGUGAGGAAUAUUGGUCAAUGGACGAGAGUCUGAACCAGCCAAGUAGCGUGAAGGAUGACUGCCCUAUGGGUUGUAAACUUCUUUUAUAAAGGAAUAAAACGCGGCACGUGUGCCUUUUUGCAUGUACUUUAUGAAUAAGGAUCGGCUAACCCCGUGCCAGCAGCCGCGGUAAUACGGAGGAUCCGAGCGUUAUCCGGGUUUAUUGGGUUUAAAGGGAGCGUAGAUGGGUAGUUAAGUCAGUUGUGAAAGUUUGCGGCUCAACCGUCAAAUUGCAAUUGAUACUGGCAGUCUUGAGUACAGUAGAGGUAGGCGGAAUGCGUGGUGUAGCGGUGAAAUGCUUAGAUAUCACGAAGAACCCCGAUUGCGAAGGCAGCAUACUAAACUGUGACUGACAUUGAUGCACGAAAGUGUGGGUAUCAAACAGGAUUAGAUACCCUUGUAGUC